RNAcentral lists this ribosomal RNA (405 nucleotides) under uncultured bacterium. Its description in RNAcentral is "bacterial SSU rRNA". It matches the Rfam family "Bacterial small subunit ribosomal RNA", at positions 355 to 776 of the family's 1533-position model. The record is from RNAcentral.
UGGGGAAUAUUGCACAAUGGGGGAAACCCUGAUGCAGCGACGCCGCGUGAGUGAAGAAGUAUUUCGGUAUGUAAAGCUCUAUCAGCAGGGAAGAAGAAGGACGGUACCUGAGUAAGAAGCCCCGGCUAACUACGUGCCAGCAGCCGCGGUAAUACGUAGGGGGCAAGCGUUAUCCGGAUUUACUGGGUGUAAAGGGAGCGUAGACGGCGAAGAAAGUCUGAAGUGAAAGCCCGCGGCUCAACCGCGGAAUGGCUUUGGAAACUUUUUUGCUGGAGUACCGGAGAGGUAAGCGGAAUUCCUAGUGUAGCGGUGAAAUGCGUAGAUAUUAGGAGGAACACCAGUGGCGAAGGCGGCUUACUGGACUGUAACUGACGUUGAGGCUCGAAAGCGUGGGGAGCAAACAGG